Camelus dromedarius (Arabian camel) is the source of this 684-nucleotide long non-coding RNA. RefSeq lists it as uncharacterized. The transcript has 3 exons. NCBI's taxonomy places the organism in Eukaryota, Metazoa, Chordata, Mammalia, Artiodactyla, Camelidae. The record is from RefSeq and is a predicted model, not a curated record.
UGGCUGGGCGGCGGCACCUAUGGGGAAGUCUUCAAGGCUCGAGACAAGGUGACGGGGGACCUGGUGGCACUGAAGAUGGUGAAGAUGCAGCCUGAUGAUGAUGUUUCUACACUUCAGAAGGAAAUCCUCAUCUUGAAAACUUGUCGGCAUGCCAACAUCGUGGCCUACCAUGGGAGUUAUCUCUGGUGAUGAGCUUAAGACCUGCCCUGGGACCCAGCCCAGCCCCUACCCCCGAACUCCCAUUCCUGACGAGGGUACCCCCUACCCUGACCUCAAUCAUGGAUCCUCAUUUUUAACUGGGGCACCCCUAACUGGAUCUCCAAGUCAAAGUCCCACUUCUCUGACCAAAGGAUCCCCAAAUCUAAUCUCCAAUCCAGAACUCCCAUUUCUUACAAGGGGUCCCCAAAACGGAUCCCUUUGUAGUAACCAAACCUGAACCAAGUCCCCUAAAACCAAUCUUUCAUACUCCUGCUCAUCGGGUCCCCCGGUUUCACUUUCUGUUCCUUUAAUAUGAACCCCUAAAUUCCCUGACCCUCAAACUAAUAUCCCAGGUACCUCAAUAAUGACUUCUGUUCCCUAUACCUGGCACCCUGGCCUCCUCUGUCGCCUCCGAACUUUCACAGCCUGUGAAGUCUCUACCCUGUCUUCCAGAUUAGUGUGGAACAGCAGAGGUGCUUUGGCUUA